RNAcentral lists this ribosomal RNA (284 nucleotides) under uncultured prokaryote. RNAcentral's name for it is "partial 16S ribosomal RNA". It matches the Rfam family "Bacterial small subunit ribosomal RNA", at positions 524 to 805 of the family's 1533-position model. The record is from RNAcentral.
GACGAACUGUUCUAACGUUAUUCGGAAUCACUGGGCUUAAAGGGCGCGUAGGCUGUUUGUUAAGCGGGGUCUGAAAUCCCUCGGCUCAACCGAGGAACUGGGCUUCGAACUGGCAGACUAGAGUGAAGUAGGGGUAAGCGGAACUUGCGGUGGAGCGGUGAAAUGCUUUGAUAUCGCAAGGAACACCGGCGGUGAAGGCGGCUUACUGGGCUUCAACUGACGCUUAAGCGCGAAAGCUAGGGUAGCGAACGGGAUUAGAUACCCGCGUAGUCCCUGAGCGGGCU